Molecule: long non-coding RNA, 1249 nt
Filed under: Androctonus crassicauda
Lineage: Eukaryota; Metazoa; Arthropoda; Arachnida; Scorpiones; Buthidae
Source: RNAcentral
AUAAGCGGCGUGCACUGUAUAUAUCUUAGAAAAAAUUAACAUAAAAGUUCAAUAUAAAGGAACAAAUAUGGUUUAGGAUAUGAGGCAGGUUAUGCUGGUUCUUUCAUAAAGCAUAACUCCAGGCAUUAGAAAUAAAUUCAUUUGUUUGUUUAUUAUUUACAUUUUAUGGGCUGAUCUUUAUAAUUUCAAUAGAUUCAUUUAUUCUUCCUUCUUUUACAUCAUGGCACUUUAUCACUCUAGUCCCAUUCCAUUCAAUUACCAAUCCAUGUUUUUAGAAUCUUUAACUAAGAUUGGUAGAUAAAUUGCCUAUUUUUGAAUCAUGUUUAUGCUUUUACAAUAUUAUUAUUUGUGUUCUUUUGGUUAUCAUUUACAUUAUAUUUUAAGCUACACAACAACAAGCAUCAUACAUAGAAAUGACAAUGAGGACAUCAGCACAAAGAAUAGAGGAGCACAAAAACAAUAUUGCCAAAGGGAAACUAAUCACUACCCUAUCCAUAAAGGCUUACAACAAUGAUCUAAAGAUAGAAUGGGAUAAGGCAAGCACAGUAAAGCCAACAGCUAAAAAAUCCCAAGUGCUAAUGACAGAAGCAUUAGAAAUUUUGAAAAGACAAAGAAGGAGCAACUGCUGAAUGACAGGCCAACUGUGGAACUGCCAUCAGCAUGGCGCUAUUUGCUUGAAGCAUGGAGAAAUGGCUUAAUAAAAUAAUAACAAACCAAGAAGAAAAAUGAGAAUGUUUAAUCUAGGACAGAACCAGGCAUAGGAGCAUAUAUGUUUAUGAGCAAUGGAAGACUAUACACAACAACACGUGUUAAUACUCUUUAUAUUAUUAUUACCCAGGGUCCUUUAAAUGCCUUUAUACCUCCUUCUGUAUUUUCUAUAUUAAUUAUAAUUGUAUGUAUUUAUUUAUGUUUAUUUAAUUUUUCUCUUUUAUUGUUCUUGAAAUGUAACUAUAGUAUCCAACCAUUUUAGAAUUUUAUGUAUUCGAUGUUCUUUUUAUUUAAUUUAGUAACCAGAUGAUGGUAUACCUAUACUGAAAACAUUAGCUACCAAUAAAAAAUUUGGUGUUAAGAACAUUUCACAACUGCAAAGACUACUGUUUAUUGAUUUUGUAUUUAAAAAAGUGAAUAAGCAGUUUGUUAAAAAAUAUAGAUCCCAUCAAAAACAUUUCAAGUGUAAAAAAUGUAGCUAAGUCUCGUGCCUCUUUAUCCGUAAAAAGUUGUGAGAUAUCAUGAGAGCCAAGUCUAGCGC